GAUCCUGGCUCAGAACGAACGCCGGCGGCACGUUUUAAGCAUGCAAGUCGAACGGUAGAAGGUCUUCGGACUUUUGAGAGUGGCGAACGGGUGAGUAACACGUAGGUAAUCUGUCUUAGGGGUUGGGGAUAGCCCAUGGAAACAUGGGGUAAUACCGAAUAGCUCCCUUUCAGCACAAGCGGGAAGGGGGAAAGGCGCUUAGGCGCCGCCUUAGGGUGAGCCUGCGGUCCAUUAGUUAGUUGGUGGGGUAAGAGCCUACCAAGGCAGCGAUGGAUAGCCGGCCUGAGAGGGUGAACGGCCACACUGGGACUGAGACACGGCCCAGACUCCUACGGGAGGCAGCAGCUAAGAAUCUUCCGCAAUGGGCGAAAGCCUGACGGAGCGAUGCCGCGUGAGUGAAGAAGGCGGGAACGUUGUAAAACUCUUUUCUCGGGGAGGAAUAAGGAGGGGAGGUAAUGCCCCUUUGAUGACGCGAACCGAGGAAUAAGCCCCGGCUAAUUACGUGCCAGCAGCCGCGGUAACACGUAAGGGGCGAGCGUUGUUCGGAAUUAUUGGGCGUAAAGGGCGUGUAGGCGGCGAUGUAAGCCUGGUGUGAAAGACUUCAGCUUAACUGGAGAGCCGCGCUGGGAACUAUGUUGCUUGAGUAUAGGAGGGGGAGCUGGAAUUCCAGGUGUAGGGGUGAAAUCUGUAGAUAUCUGGAAGAACACCGGAGGCGAAGGCGAGCUCCUGGCCAUAUACUGACGCUGAGGCGCGAAAGCGUGGGGAGCGAACAGGAUUAGAUACCCUGGUAGUCCACGCUGUAAACGUUGUGCACUAGGUGUCGGACUUACGGGUUCGGUACCGAAGUUAACGCGAUAAGUGCACCGCCUGGGGAGUAUGCUCGCAAGGGUGAAACUCAAAGGAAUUGACGGGGGCCCCGCACAAAGCGGUGGAGCAUGUGGUUUAAUUCGAUGAUACGCGAGAAAACUUACCAGGGUUUGACAUAUAGCA
Molecule: ribosomal RNA, 990 nt
Filed under: uncultured organism
Description: bacterial SSU rRNA
Rfam family: Bacterial small subunit ribosomal RNA
Source: RNAcentral